This 645-nucleotide ribosomal RNA is filed under the name Albinaria percristata percristata. RNAcentral's name for it is "partial 12S ribosomal RNA". Lineage: Eukaryota; Metazoa; Mollusca; Gastropoda; Stylommatophora; Clausiliidae. The record is from RNAcentral.
CCCACUUUAAUUUAAUGGAUAUCGUAUGCUUUAAACAUAUUUAAAUAUGGAUACUCAAGUAAUCGUCCAGUUUAAGAUUUUAAUUAAUGUAAGAAAUUACAAUUUAGGUAGUUUACUAAUUUAGGUUUAUUAGGUGCCAGCAACCGCGGUCAAACCUAAUAAGUUAGCUUACAAGCGCAUUAAAUAAUUUUUAUUUCCCUUAAAAAUAGUAUAAUAAGUAGUGAAAUACUAUUAUAGAUAAUAUUUUUAUUUAUGAUAAUAAAUAUAUAUUAAACUCAUUUUAUAAACUAGGAUUAGAGACCCUGCUAUUAUGAGCCCAAAAAUUUAUUUAUUAAGAAGUAAAAUUACAAAAUUUAAACUUAAAAAUUAUGGCGGCCUAACCAAACACUUAGGGGAACUUACCAUGUAAUUGAUAAUCACCAAACUUAUUACACUUACUUUAAUAAUUUGUAUACCGUUGUCUUCAUGAGCCCCUUAAAAGGGGCUCAUGAGUAUUAAAUUAAUACUAAGACAAAUCAAGGUGCAGUCUAUAAGUAAGAAUUUAAGGUGAGUUACAAUAAAAAUUUAUUUCGGAGUUUAUAGUGAAAUACAAUAUAAAGAUGGACUUAAAAGUAAUAAUUAAGUAUUAACAAAUAUGAAUAUGUC